Molecule: long non-coding RNA, 1689 nt
Filed under: Malus domestica (apple)
Lineage: Eukaryota; Viridiplantae; Streptophyta; Magnoliopsida; Rosales; Rosaceae
Description: long non-coding RNA (MDOM_LNC017059)
Source: RNAcentral
GUGUGUAAGAAGGACUUCUCUUACACACACACCACUUGCAUGGCUUUAUUCACAUCAACCUAUUUCCACUUGCAUGGCUUUAUGACUUAGUUGAAAAUUUCCAAAUUUUUUGUGGACUUAUCUCCACUCCUUUUUCCUCCCUAAAACCGGCCACCCUAUUAAAAUAGGGUAUUUUUGGGGCUUUUAUGCAAUUACAUAAAGUUUUGAUACUUUUGUGUAUUUGUGUUUGACCCGAAAGUUUACGUUUUGACGUUAAGGCCCUAAAAACGCUAAAGUACAAAUUGUUUUGCUCUCUUUAAUGAAGUUUUGAAUUUAUUGGAAUUUUUUGGGUUCUAGUUGUAAUUACAUGAAGUAGUGGGACUUUUGUGUUUUUACAAAGUGACCCCAAAAGUUUGUGUUUUGCAAUAUAGCCCAAAAGUUAUGGUAAUUGCAUUUUGGCCCAAAUUAGGUUGAGAACAAAAUGGUUUUGUCUCUUUAAAUGAGAAUUGGAUUUUCAUUUCAUUUAGCUCCAUUUAAAUCAAUUCUAUGGAUAUAAAAACCAAAUGAAAAAUGUUGCAUUCAUAUUUAAUUAGUUAAAGUGUUAAUUAAUUAAAGGGUGAUUAUGAACCUAAGCCUACGAUAAUUGAGCUAUGUGAAAGGCCGUUUUUCAAAUUUGUUUGAACCAUGGGAAUGUGUAGAUUAGAUUUUGGUUGUAAUUUUGAUUUGAUCAAAUGUUGUAAAAGAGCUUAAGCUCUUCUUUACUUUAAAGUAAUUUGAAUUGUUCAAAUGUUGUAAUGAGCAUAAGCUCACCUUUACUUUGAAGUACUUCUUUCUUGCUUUAUUUGAUAUGCAUGAAAAUGAAGUAGUUGGGUCCAAUGCCCCUAAGACAACACGCCUUAAUGUGAUUAAACGCGUUAACUAAAAUCAAUCACCAUCCCUAGACCGAGAUUCAACACUAGGCUCGUGUUGAAUCUAAACAAAGGUUCAUAGUCAUCCUAAGGCCCUAAGGCAACUAUAUAGUCCAUCAAAUGAAUGCAAAGUUUAUGUUAGUAGUAGUAUCAUAUACUCUUGCUUUAAAAACCGUUUUAUAAGCAUAGUGGAGUAUUAUAUACAACUAAAUUCAAUCAAAUGGACCAAUAGUUGUAAUAGGACCAAAAUUGUUUUAAUAAGAUUAAAAUGAAAGUUUAUAUGUGAUGAGACCUAAAAACCCUCAACCAAACCAUUAUUAAGUUGAUAAGCGUGAGAGUGCUUUGAACACUCUUUCGUGGCCUUCCACUGUGGUAGGCUUCAAUCGUUUAUGACUCAUACACAGUAUUCGUCCAGUUCUGCGGUUGCAAAGUAUGUGCUUUACAUUCAGGAGAAGCCUAUAUGCCAAUAUGAUGAAGUAAAGGUAGGCAACGAGUAUGGUCAAUAUGAUUUUCUUCUGAGGCCAUUCUUGAACCCCUACUUUAACUAGCAUGGUGGGAAUGACUUAACUAAGUGCAAUAUGCCAAUAUGAUAUUCUUCUGAGGCAUCAUUCUCUAGAGGCCAAACUAGAUGGGUACUUGCAAGAGAUGCAAAUGAGUAAGUGUACUCUCUCAUUAUUAUUAACGCUAGCCAAUAUGAUUUUCUUCUGAGGUGGGCUUGGUAAUGGUGAGUCCCCCAUACCCUACUAAGAGUUUCAUCCAAAACUCUCGAAUUCCAAUGAGGGAUAUGGAAUUUGCCAAAAAU